This 337-nucleotide ribosomal RNA is filed under the name Shewanella putrefaciens. RNAcentral's name for it is "bacterial SSU rRNA". It matches the Rfam family "Bacterial small subunit ribosomal RNA", at positions 46 to 388 of the family's 1533-position model. The record is from RNAcentral. Lineage: Bacteria; Pseudomonadati; Pseudomonadota; Gammaproteobacteria; Alteromonadales; Shewanellaceae.
GCCAACAGCAACUCGAGCGGCAGCACAAGGGUAGUUUACUCUGAGGUGGCGAGCGGCGGACGGGUGAGUAAUGCCUAGGGAUCUGCCCAGUCGAGGGGGAUAACAGUUGGAAACGACUGCUAAUACCGCAUACGCCCUACGGGGGAAAGGAGGGGACCUUCGGGCCUUCCGCGAUUGGAUGAACCUAGGUGGGAUUAGCUAGUUGGUGAGGUAAUGGCUCACCAAGGCGACGAUCCCUAGCUGUUCUGAGAGGAUGAUCAGCCACACUGGGACUGAGACACGGCCCAACUCCUACCGAGGCCAGUGGGGAAUAUUGCACAAUGGGGGAAACCCGAUG